Molecule: ribosomal RNA, 497 nt
Filed under: uncultured bacterium
Lineage: Bacteria
Description: partial 16S ribosomal RNA
Rfam family: Bacterial small subunit ribosomal RNA
Source: RNAcentral
GAUGAACGCUGGCGGCGGGCCUAAUACAUGCAAGUCGAGCGAACAGACGAGGAGCUUGCUCCUCUUACGUUAGCGGCGGACGGGUGAGUAACACGUGGAUAACCGACCUAUAAGGCUGGGAUAAGUUCGGGAAACCGGAUCUAAUACCGGAUAAUAUAGUGAACCUCAGGGUUCAAUAGUGAAAGAGGGUUUUGCUGUGACUUAUAGAUGUAUCCGCGCCGCAUUAGCUAGUUGGUAAGGUAACGGCUUACCAAGGCAACGAUGCGUAGCCGACCUGAGAGGGUGAUCGGCCACACUGGAACUGAGACACGGUCCAGACUCCUACGGGAGGCAGCAGUAGGGAAUAUUCCGCAAUGGGCGAAAGCCUGACGGAGCCACGCCGCGUGUGUGAUGAAGGUCUUCGGAUCGUAAAACUCUGUUAUUUGGGAAGAACAAAUGUGUAAGUAACUAUGCACGUCUUGACGGUACCUACUCAGAAAGCCACGGCUAACUACGUG